This 441-nucleotide ribosomal RNA is filed under the name uncultured Pseudomonas sp. Its description in RNAcentral is "bacterial SSU rRNA". It matches the Rfam family "Bacterial small subunit ribosomal RNA", at positions 8 to 451 of the family's 1533-position model. Lineage: Bacteria; Pseudomonadati; Pseudomonadota; Gammaproteobacteria; Pseudomonadales; Pseudomonadaceae. The record is from RNAcentral.
AGAGUUUGAUCCUGGCUCAGAUUGAACGCUGGCGGCAGGCCUAACACAUGCAAGUCGAGCGGAUGAAGAGAGUUUGCUCUCUGAUUCAGCGGCGGACGGGUGAGUAAUGCCUAGGAAUCUGCCUAUUAGUGGGGGACAACGUUUCGAAAGGAACGCUAAUACCGCAUACGUCCUACGGGAGAAAGCAGGGGACCUUCGGGCCUUGCGCUAAUAGAUGAGCCUAGGUCGGAUUAGCUAGUUGGUGAGGUAAAGGCUCACCAAGGCGACGAUCCGUAACUGGUCUGAGAGGAUGAUCAGUCACACUGGAACUGAGACACGGUCCAGACUCCUACGGGAGGCAGCAGUGGGGAAUAUUGGACAAUGGGCGAAAGCCUGAUCCAGCCAUGCCGCGUGUAUGAAGAAGGUCUUCGGAUUGUAAAGCACUUUAAGUUGGGAGGAAGG